UACGUAGGGGGCAAGCGUUGUCCGGAAUCAUUGGGCGUAAAGCGCGUGUAGGCGGUCCGGUAAGUCCGCUGUGAAAGUCGGGGGCUCAACCCUCGGAUGCCGGUGGAUACUGUCGGGCUUGAGUACGGAAGAGGCGAGUGGAAUUCCUGGUGUAGCGGUGAAAUGCGCAGAUAUCAGGAGGAACACCAAUGGCGAAGGCAGCUCGCUGGGACGUUACUGACGCUGAGACGCGAAAGCGUGGGGAGCAAACAGG
RNAcentral lists this ribosomal RNA (253 nucleotides) under uncultured bacterium. RNAcentral's name for it is "partial 16S ribosomal RNA". It matches the Rfam family "Bacterial small subunit ribosomal RNA", at positions 524 to 776 of the family's 1533-position model. The record is from RNAcentral.